This is a long non-coding RNA of Manis pentadactyla (Chinese pangolin), 3879 nucleotides long. RefSeq lists it as uncharacterized. NCBI's taxonomy places the organism in Eukaryota, Metazoa, Chordata, Mammalia, Pholidota, Manidae. The record is from RefSeq and is a predicted model, not a curated record. The transcript has 2 exons.
GUGGAGACCACCCUGUUCUGCGCUCGCCACCUCCUUGUCCCAGCUGCAUCCCUGUAGGGCCUGGAGAGAGAGCCCAGCUCUGGGGGUGGGUGGGGACGCUGUGAGGGAGCAGCAGGGCUGUGGUGUGCUGCAUGUUAUUUCAUGUGUUCGUAUGUGUGGGUGUGUCUGUGUACAAAUCCUGGGAGGGAUUCUGCUUCUGGGUGUGUGUAUAGUUGUGAGUGUGUAAUUGUGGACAAGUGUACAUGCAUUGUAUUCAUGGUUGUGCAUACACUUGUGUGUGUCAGUUUACAUGAGUCAGUGUGUGUGUCACGUGCAUGCUGGGUGAACCUGUGUGCUCCUCUCUGAGUAAAUACUAGAGGCAGUGUGCAGGGAAGACUGUGUGUGUGUGCCUGUCUUUAUGUGAGUCUUUGUUUGUGUGGCAUAUGUGUGUCUGUGCCAGCCCUGGUGUCAUGUCUCACCUUCUCAAAACCCAGGAACAUACCAUCACUGUCUAGAAGCUCAGUUUCUCACCUGUAAAAUGGAAACACAGAGGACCCGCAUCAGCUGUGCAUUCACUGGCCUGUCUGGACCACGCACUCCCUUCUGUGAGUGUGGUAGCUGUGGGGUCACUGCGCAAGCUCCCAGGAGCCCCGCCUGAGCUGCUCUGAUCCAGGCCACAGAAGCAGCCCCUACUGGGACAUGCCACUCUCAGGGAAGAGGACGCAGGAGCACGGGAGCUCAUGGAAAUGACAGCAGUCCCUGAGGCAGUUUGCAACCCCAUGAAGAUUGGAACAACCUGGAUGGCUCCUAUAAGUUCCUGGUUUGACUUCCUAUUGCCAUUAUGGAUAAGUGGAGAAAUCUGAAUGUACAAGAGAAGGAGUUAAGAAUACGGAAUUACUAUUCAUUGAGUUGGCGUGAAAUGCUAUUGAAGGCCUAUGGAAAAUAUCUUUUUAGAGAUGCAUGCUGAAUAUUUAGGGAUAUAAUAUCAUGAUAUCUAUAAUUUACUUUAAAAUAUUUCAGCAUAAAAAUGGAAAUUGAUAAAAUCUACGGUGUUCAGAUAAUAUUAACAUGAAGAUUCCAGAAAAGAUCAUUUGUUUUGUACAGUACAAACUCAAGAUUUUUUAAAAAAAUUUAGAUGUUAUGAAAAAGACAAAUAAAAAAUAAGGAAAGAAAUUUAGUUAGAAUGAAUAGAGAACAAAAAUCCAACCCAAGAAUUUGAGAAACCCCAAAGGCACCGAGCAGUGGGUUGGUCUGGGCACCUCCGCCUUCUCGCUCUGUCUUGCCUCCCUUUCCAAUCUGCUCUCUUCUCCAUUUUCUCUCUCACACAAACAUGUUCACAUACUUUGGAGGGUCUUCAUAUCAUCUAAUCCCUUAAUGUUUAAAGAUAUUUAAGGAUACCCCCAAUCUUUUUAGCUCUCUGUGGUUUUCUAAGUGCUGUCAUCUGCCAUGUGGUUCUUAAACCUGCGAGAGAGGCUUCAUGGGUGGGAUGAGGAGGCUCAGAGAGGCCGUGCUCCCUCCUCAAGGCUGUGCCCCUAGGGAGGAGCAGAGGAGGUGUGAAGAGCUGGUUUCCCAGUGCCGAGUCAGGGGACCUUUCCCAGACCACGCCCACAUCCCUUUCCCUCUCCGCGGAGCCGCACUGCAGGGGGUUGGUGUCUCCCAGGCCCCCUGAUCACACGGGUGUUCAGGACCCGCUGACUCUUACAGACUCAGAGCAGUGCUUCCCAAAGUGCAGGGUCAGAACCACCAGCUGGUUGCUGAAAAGGGCUUAGUUUUCAGAACAGAACUACUGAAUCACCUCGAGGAAGGGGACCUGAACUUCUUUUUCUAAAUGAACAUUGCAGGUGACUCUAAUGUACCCUAAAGUUUGGGGCACACUUGCCUUGAGGCCAAGAAAGCAGAUGGGCCAGUAUUCUAGAGUGCCCUCUGGCUUCCCCCAGCCGUGUUGCAGCCUCCAACCCCUGUUUCUGUCUGGGAGGAGCCCCCGCCUGCUUAGGGAGGGGCUUCGGCAGGCCGGAGUGGCGAGCCCGGAUUUCCUCCCUCCUCCUCCUCACACUCACACCACAGGGCAGGUACGCUAGCAUGAAGUAAGGGUAAACUUGAUGUUUCUGUUCUAGUGUGGCAGAUUAAGUGGCUUUUUAAAUUAAACAGUUAUUAUAAACAUCUUUUCAUAUAUAAGUGAAAACAUUUUAACAUCAUAUAUGAUAGAGUAUUCCACUGAUUUAAUGGAUUACAUCAUUUCUAAAACAGCUUUAUUUGAGACAUAAAUCAGUACCAUUAAAAUGGACCUCCUUAAAGUAUACAGUUCAAUAGUUUUGAUCUAUUAACAGAGCUGUGCAUUCAUCACCACAGUCUAACUUCAGGGCAUUUCCAUCACCCCCAAAAGAAACUCUCAUUUUCUUUUCCCACAGUCACUGGUGGCCACUAGUCUCCUUUCUGUCUCUAUGGUUUUGCCUCUUCUGUAAUUUUUAAACAGAAUCUCUACUGCUGAGUGUUUAUAUUGUUCCUACAUUUUUACCAUUAUUAACAAGGCUAUGAUGAACAUCUAAUAUAUCCAUUUUUAUACUUUUGUCCAAUUAUAUUCUUAAAAGACAUUUCUAGAAUUAGAAUUUGUUUAAUCAGAAAUAUGUUCUUUUGUUUGUUUCCAAAGUCACAAAAUGACAUUGUUGAGGAUACAUUCUUCUCUUUGGUGUGCAUGGAAAAAUAGUCAUAUGGAGAAAAUAUUUGGUAAUAAUAACAGUAAGAAAGAGAGAGAAAAUGUAUAUUUUAUAUCACACUUCUAUGAACUUUAAGAAAUAUAGAAUUAAAUAUACAAAAACUGGAAGACCAAGUAUAAGCAGUCUGCAUUUGCUUCAGUGCUCAGUACUAUCAUAAUGAUUCCUAACACAAAAACAAGAGUUCAUGGAUCUCAAGUAUCUUCAAUAAAUGCUGGUAUAACUUAUGACUUUUGGCCCUGCUUCUUUAAGAGAUACUUUUCUCAGUAUUUGUGAUUUAGCUCCAAAAGUCCAUUUUGCUAUUUCCUUGAAGUAUUGAGUUAAUUUCAAAACUUCUUCGUGUUUAUCUUGAUUUCUCAGUAAUGAAAGCUGUGAAAAUUAAAAUAUUUUCACAGCUCAGCUUGGCAAGGAUGAAUGAAACUGACAGUUUUCAUGACAUUAAUUUGGGGAGUGAAAGUUGAAACUGUCUUCUUGAAGGACAUUCUGGCAAUGUGUAUGAAAAUGAAAAGCAUGCAUCCCUUUGACUAUGACUAAGAUAUAUGCAAAAGAUCUACAUACACAGAUAUUCACUGACGUAUUGUCUAUAAUAGAGAAAACAGGAAAAAAAUCUAAAUCUCCAUCAUCAGAAUAUUGAUUAAAACAUACAUGUGGUAUGACCAUAAAAUGCAAUAGUAUACAGCCAUUAGAGAUGAUGGAAAUAUUGGCAGAGAAUGUUCUCCACCACAUUGUUGAAAACAAAAAUGAUUUAAUGAAAAACAAAAUGGGGAGAAUUUCACCAAAAUGUUAACAGAAUCUGGGGUGAUGUUUGCUUUCUUCACAUUUUUAAAAAUUUUGCUAUCAUUAAAGUACAAUUACAUGAACAACAUUAUGGUUAUGAGACUCGACCCCACCACAUAGCCCACUACAGUCACUGUCCAUCAGCGUAGUAAGAUGCUAUAGAAUCACUAUUUGUCUUCUCUGUGUUAUACUGCCUUCCCCGUGUCCCCCCCCACACACAUUAUACAUGCUAAUUGUGAUUCCCCUUUUUCCCCACCCUUAUCCAUCCCUUCUCACCCAUCCUCCCCAGUCCCUUUCCCUUUGGUAACUGUUAGUCCAUUCUUGGGUUCUGUGAGUCUACUGCUGUUUUGUUCCUUCAGUUUUUGUUUUGUUCUUAUACUCCACAGAUGAGUGAAAUCAUUUGAUACUUGUC